Long non-coding RNA from Monodelphis domestica (gray short-tailed opossum), 1446 nucleotides. RefSeq lists it as uncharacterized. Lineage: Eukaryota; Metazoa; Chordata; Mammalia; Didelphimorphia; Didelphidae. The record is from RefSeq and is a predicted model, not a curated record.
UACACUCAGGAGAGCCAGCAUUGAGAGGAUUAAUGCCCAAGUCAAUCUGGCACAAAUGACUACUAGACAGCACUGUAAGCCUCUCCAUGACAAACCAGCAAGCUGGUUCCCUGAAGGUUCACACUACAGUCAGUAUCCAAAGUCAGCAAAGCAAACCCCAAACACCAGAGAAAACUACCCUAGGAAAAGAGCUAAACUUUAAUAUAUAUAAAGGUCACACCAAAAAAAGCCCAGAAAAAUGAGCAAAAGACAAAGAAAAAACCUGACUCAAGAAAUUUACUUUGUGACAGGAAAGAUCAAAAUAUAAACUCAGAAGAGGACAACAAUGCCCAAACUGAAAGAUGUAAAGCCUCAAAAGAUGUCAGGCCCCAAAAGAAUUCCUGGAAGAACUCAAACUUCAAAUAAUAAAGGUUCUAUAUAUUGCUUCAGAUGCUGGUCUCUGGGGACAAACAGAAUAAAUGUGACCCAUGGCCCAAAGACCCCAAAAGUCUGUGGACUCACACAGCAGGAAGGAAGCACACACCACCAGGAUUCAGUCAGGAAAGACUCAAGGCCAGAUGCCUUUUGAACAACAUCAGUCCAGAUUCUCAAAGUGCAAUCCAGGCUGGAGGAGGCGUAGAGCUUCAAGUAAGAGCAGCAGCACAAGCCUGGGAGUUGGGAAAGCCGAGAAAGAGAUGCCGGACUCAAAAUGGCGGUCUCGGUGUGGCCAGGGGAGCAAAGGGCAUCCUUGGGGAAGCCCUCUUUGGUGCCUGAAGGGACACAAAGUAAAUGCUCAUCAUUUGGGAAAUGGCUGAACAAACUGUGAAACACGAAGGUAAUGGAACAUUGCUGCAAUUAUAGAAAGGAUGAAGAAUACAAAGCAUGGGAAGACUUGUAAGAUCUGAUGCAAAGUGAAGUAAGCAGAACCAGGAAAACACACACAGUGCCUAAAUGGAAACAACAAAAGAGAAACUGAAUUCCAUGAAUUAUUGACCAAGCUUGGCCCCAAAGGAGAGAUUUGACAAUCAACCUCCCUCCCUUCUCUACAAAGGUGAGGGCCUUUAAGAGAUGGCUCUCUGGAUUGCAGAGGGGAGGGGCAUUAGGUACGGAAGCUGUGACCAAAAAAAAAAAUCAAUAACAAUUUAAAUUUUAAAGAAAUAUGACCACUUCAGAGGGACAUGAGAGGCUGGACCAAGAAGGGGAGGGAAGGGGAAAGAACAUGGAUGAGGAAGAAGUGGGAGCUAUAUGUGUAGAGGGUAGAAAGGAGCAGGGGCCAGGGAGGAGAAGGGAUGUGGGGAUCCUGAGGUGGAGGGAUAUGAGAGUCAGGUUAGGUGAUGAGAUGGUUAACAGGUGGGAAAGGGGUAAAGGCCCAUUGGAAAAGAGGGGAGAGAGGAAGGCUGGACAGAGGCUGCCUGAGCAAAGGGUGGGAAGUCUGUACAGAAGAGGGUGGGACUUGCUGACCGGCAG